Molecule: long non-coding RNA, 550 nt
Filed under: Rattus norvegicus (Norway rat)
Lineage: Eukaryota; Metazoa; Chordata; Mammalia; Rodentia; Muridae
Description: long non-coding RNA NONRATT006795
Source: RNAcentral
AGGCUUAUGACACUGAGACCGAAUUUCAAUUCUGCCCUUUGGCAGUUAAGAGUAACCCCGGAAAACUUCUGGGAGGGAUGAGAAAAGUUCUACAACAUCAAUAUCUCACGCCCUGUUUAUUAUACUCAUACACAUUAAAAUGAAACUGGAUAAACUCAGUAGCUCAGAAAUCGCUUUCUUGGCCAUUGUUGAAGCUGAUUAAACUAUGGCCAUAAUCAUAGAAGGCAUCAAGCUCUACCUGCCUGUGUGUGAAGUCUACAGAGCUGUGCACCUCACUGUCUGUGAAGUCUACAGAGCUGUGCACGUCACUGCAUGUGAAGUCUACAGAGCUGUGCACUUCACUGCGUGUGAAGUCUACAGAGCUGUGCACGUCACUGCAUGUGAAGUCUACAGAGCUGUGCACGUCACUGCAUGUGAAGUCUACAGAGCUGUGCACUUCACUGCUUGUGAAGUCUACAGAGCUGUGCACGUCACUGCGUGUGAAGUCUACAGAGCUGUGCACGUCACUGCAUGUGAAGUCUACAGAGCUGUGCACGUCACUGCGUGUGAA